GUAGGGUGCAAGCGUUAUCCGGAAUCAUUGGGCGUAAAGAGCUCGUAGGCGGUUCAGCAAGUCGGCUGUGAAAUCCCGAGGGCUUAACCUCGGAACUGCAGUCGAUACUGCUGUGACUAGAGUCCGGUAGAGGAGAAUGGAAUUCCCGGUGUAGCGGUGAAAUGCGCAGAUAUCGGGAGGAACACCAGUAGCGAAGGCGGUUCUCUGGGCCGGUACUGACGCUGAGGAGCGAAAGCGUGGGUAGCAAACAGGAUUAGAUACCCUGGUAGUCCACGCCAUAAACGUUGGACACUAGGUGUGGCGUUCCGACCAACGGGUGCCGUGCCGAAGCUAACGCAUUAAGUGUCCCGCCUGGGGAGUACGGCCGCAAGGCUA
RNAcentral lists this ribosomal RNA (375 nucleotides) under uncultured organism. RNAcentral's name for it is "partial 16S ribosomal RNA". It matches the Rfam family "Bacterial small subunit ribosomal RNA", at positions 527 to 896 of the family's 1533-position model. The record is from RNAcentral.